GGGGUUGUGGCUCAGUGGUAGAGCACUUGCCUAGCAUACAUGAGGCACUGGGUUCAAUCCCUGGCACCA
This 69-nucleotide transfer RNA is filed under the name Ictidomys tridecemlineatus (thirteen-lined ground squirrel). Its description in RNAcentral is "Spermophilus tridecemlineatus (thirteen-lined ground squirrel) tRNA". It matches the Rfam family "tRNA". Rfam says of the family: Transfer RNA (tRNA) molecules are approximately 80 nucleotides in length. The record is from Rfam by way of RNAcentral. Lineage: Eukaryota; Metazoa; Chordata; Mammalia; Rodentia; Sciuridae.